GUACCCUUAGUUCAAUAGGUAGAAUACUCCGGUUCAUAUCGGAAGAUGUAGGUUCGAAUCCUACGGGGUACA
RNAcentral lists this transfer RNA (72 nucleotides) under Enterococcus pseudoavium. Its description in RNAcentral is "tRNA-Met". It matches the Rfam family "tRNA". From Rfam's summary of the family: Transfer RNA (tRNA) molecules are approximately 80 nucleotides in length. Their secondary structure includes four short double-helical elements and three loops (D, anti-codon, and T loops). The record is from RNAcentral. Lineage: Bacteria; Bacillati; Bacillota; Bacilli; Lactobacillales; Enterococcaceae.